Non-coding RNA from Anolis sagrei ordinatus, 506 nucleotides. NCBI's taxonomy places the organism in Eukaryota, Metazoa, Chordata, Lepidosauria, Squamata, Anolidae. The record is from RefSeq and is a predicted model, not a curated record.
UUAUUAGUAUUAAAAUUGUUAUCUAAAUGCAUCUUUUUAAAAAGUGGUAACUACUUUCUUUGUUCCAGUGAUCGGGAGCAGAGAGAGAGAGAAGAAGCUCUUCAGUGUUUUCGUUCUGGAAAAUGUCCUGUGCUUGUUGCGACUUCAGUUGCAGCAAGGGGCCUGGAUAUUGAAAAUGUUCAACACGUUAUAAAUUUUGACCUUCCUUCUGCAAUUGAUGACUAUGUUCAUAGAAUUGGACGAACUGGGCGUUGUGGAAAUACAGGAAAAGCAAUUUCUUUCUUUGAUUCUCAUUCAGACAGUGCUAUUGCACAGCCUCUAGUCAAAGUGCUUGCAGAUGCUCAACAAGAAGUACCAACAUGGCUAGAAGAAAUUGCUUGUAGUUCUUGUGGAACUAGCUUUAGCUCUCCAAGGGGAAAUACAUUUGCAUCUGUUGAUUCUCGAAAGGUAAAUCUUAAAUACAAAUGAUAUGAGUGAUAAAUAAACACUGUUUGGAAACUAGAAAA